Eucalyptus grandis is the source of this 3599-nucleotide RNA transcript. RefSeq lists it as uncharacterized. NCBI's taxonomy places the organism in Eukaryota, Viridiplantae, Streptophyta, Magnoliopsida, Myrtales, Myrtaceae. The record is from RefSeq and is a predicted model, not a curated record. The transcript is spliced from 4 exons.
GGUGGAGAAACGGAAUUAAAAGCCAAAUUCGGACCCGAACCAACAUUCGUCGUUGCUGCGUCGCGCCGUUGUGCUGUGGCUCGUUCCUUCGGACUCGGUCUGAUCAAGCCGGUUCUUAUCCCCUUCUGUCUUGCGCUGCUUCGGAAUCUUGACCCGUGGAGGUGCGAUUGUUCAACAUUGGUGAAGUUGUCAGUGUCAUGGCUCUCAGCAAUGUCUUCAUCCUCAUGAUGCAAUGUGGCUUGGAAUGCCCCUUCUUCUAUGAAAAGGUUUACGCACUAUUGCAACCUUCCAUCUUCAUUGCAGAACACCGACCGAAAUUUUAUGAAAUAAUCUUGCACUGAUCAGUCUACUAUAUUACUUGACUUUGUAUCAUUUCUCCAGGCAGUCCUGCGUCACAUCAAUUUUCAUGAAUAUGUGAUAUAUGUCUAUAUGGAACCUAGCAUUCUCUAAAUUGUUAUGGAGGCACAAGGUUUAGCAAUGAUCAAGGGUGUUUAAUUGGUGUUUGCUAUGAACACUGUUGAUGCAAUAUGUGAAACAUUGCUUUUCGCAACUUAGAUCACGUCAAGUCCUUUAGAUGGCUGAUAUGCAAGUUCAUGUUGGACUGGGCUUUAGCAGAGUCGGUAGAGCUUAACAAUGGAGCGGUUUGGACCUGUCCUGACAUGAAGCUGACAUUUUCUGGAUGCGUUAGUGGUUUCAUUGCUUUCUUAUGUUGACCUGUUGAUUGUGUGGAGAGACAUAUGAAUGUUUAAGACGAUGAACUUGAAAGUAGAGACAUUCUAUGCUGCCUUCAUGCUCUUCUGAACCUUUGGAUUGCUUUCUGACACUUUGCAAAUGAUUAACAGCAGCUGCUUGUUUCCUGCUUAAAAUCACCCCUCCUUCUAGCAUACUUGGCUGCUGCUUUUGCUAAGAAACUGAGUCAACCAGCACUCUCUGUGCUUCCAGCAGGGGCACUGGUUAUUGUUGUUCCUAUCCACAAUCUCUUUUGAUGGCAUCCUACAAUCAACUGUUUGGUGUAUAGGAUAUGUACUUGGGCUUUGCACUUGGGUUUAGUUUUUUGCUCUUCUUUUAAUUCUGGUUCCUUGAUACCCGUCUGGAUUUAUUUAUACUUUUUGCCCUAUAUAAAUCAUGCAGCUCAUGCACUUUGCUUUUUUCUCAAAUGUAAAACUCUGGAAACCUCUGCAAUACUCAAGUUUUGACAUGUAGAUUCACAUUUUAGAUUCCAUAAUUUUUUGUUAGCUAAACUUUUUCUUAUAAUAUUCUGAAAUUUGAACAAUGCUUAAGAUUUCUGAAGCAAACGAACAUGCUCUUAUUCUUUGAUCCGAUGUGUGUGCUAUGCAAUAAUGUAAUCUCACCAUCUUCGCAGUGAAUGUUGUUCUGCAAGUUCCCUGGGAUGUUAAUUCUGGAACUAUUUUUACCUCUUUGUAGGAUUCUUUUAUUCCAACCCCACUUCGCGGGGAAAUGGUUACACUUUGGUUUGUGGGAUUCUUGGCGUCAGUUGGAAGAUUUUCACUAAAUGCAUUUUAGUUUCCAGGGAAGAAGUAGAAAUUUAUUAUUUGACUUAUUAAAUUAGUAACACAGAAGUUUCAUUACAUUAUUUGAAACACUGACGAUUCACAUAUUGUUUUGAAAUGAAGUAUCCCUGGUUUUGGGUAAUGUAUUAGCUAAUUCACAAGCUUUUUAUCUAUGGAUUUCAUUUGAAAGAAAACAUUGUGAUUUAUAUUAUGGGAUACUCACUGUAAUUGAAAGAGGAUGCUGUGCGCCUCUCAACUUGCAUAAUUUGGCAAUUUGUGCAUUUCAAAUAUUGAUGUGGUUGUUGUCUGUUUAUAGGAAGAAAGUAAUGACUUAUUGAGGAUGUUGUUGCCUAGGUGAUGUCAUGAUGUAGGGUACAGUUAGAAUAGUGUUGCAUGCUGUUUGAGAACCCAAAGGAUUUGGAAAAAGCUUUCAUGUUUGUCAAAUAUUCCCAAAUAUGAUUUGUGGUGUUUUACUGGAUUGAAAGCUGAUAUAUCUGCGGCCCAUGCUUUGGAAAAAGCUUUCAUGCUUUUUUAUUUAUUAUUUAUUUAUUUAUUUAAUAUGGCAUUUCAGGCAUCUUCUUCAUGAUGCUUAUUUCUUCCCUCGUGUUCAUCAUUGAUGUAUAGACUAUCUCUAAAUAAUUGACUUAAAAGACAUUUUGUACUGUCUAGUGAGGAAGGAUGUAUUGUAUGGUUGGAGCUUAAUAAAUUUGUUUGAGCUGAACCUUUAGAAACAGAUUUGCCUUUAAUUUUGGUGAAAUGGUGGCUCUGUUAAUUUGGGUGACAUACUGAUGUAGAAGAAAGGAAGAGAUGUAGCCUUAAAAGUUACUAUGUUUUGUGAGGUUCUACCAGGAAUCUUUCAAGUACCUUUUGACCUUUAAUUUUAGUGGAAUGAUGCUUCUGUUCCACUGGGUGCCCUCUAUAUCUCACACACACAUUUGUAGAGAUGUUCAGGAAGAUGGUGUAUCUGAGGCCAAGGAUGAUCCGAAAAUGGAAGAGCAGAUAGUUGGCAAUAGAAAUGACUCAACUGGCAUGGAUUUGCCUAAGAAACCUGGUUUCGAUCUUUUCCAUGAUGGUAGUGGACUGUCCCAGUCAUUAACAUCAGAGGUUGACCUAAAAGCGAAAGCAUUAAUCUUCUGUAUAUAUUGCUGGUUAAUCUACUGCCCUUUCAUAUUUUCCUGAUGUGCCUCUUCAGCUUUCCUUUUGAAUAUUCAGAGUCAUUUGUGUGCUUGCGUUCUAAUUAUACAAACUGAGUAUCUGCUUUUCUGUUUAAUAUCUCUACGGGUACCGUCUACUGCCAAAAUAGCUUUGAAGAUAAAAUUGAUGUUCACUAAAUAGUGGAUUUCAUUUUUGAGGUUGCCACUUCCACUCAAUGCAUAUAAGGAGGAAAAAAAUGAAGCGUUGUCUUGAAGCAUGUGUCUAAUAAAAGAAUCCCAACCAGGAGUCUUUUACGAUCCCUCCUGCUCCUCCUCCUCCUCCUCCGGCCCCCCCGUGCUGUCGGCGAGAAUGGCACAGCUUCGUACUAUGGUCAAUGGACGGAGUGCUACGGCAAGGGCUCAUCCCAGUUCCCUGAGAGCAACCUGUUUGCGGCCGUGGCCGACAGACUAUGGGACGUGGGGCCGCGUGCGGCAGGGAGUAUUGAGUUGUGGUGCAUCAGCAAUGUGCAGUAUGGCCCUGGAGCCUGCAAACCCGGCGCCAGCAAUAUUCGGGUCAAGGCCGUCGACUAUGCCCUCUCGGUUGAGUCCUCCGCUGCGGCCCCCAGGCAGUCUGUAACCGACGCUGAAUUAUGAUGGGAUACCUCUAUAGUUGGUUAGUGGACCACUAGAUAAGUUUGUGGUAGAUAAGGACUUUCUUUUUUUCUUUCGAAGGUAGAUAAGGACUUUGAGUAGAUGUAAAUGUCUUCACGGAAGUUCUCAGGUCGUUUUCAGCAACAAUGGCAUUUUACCCUAGGUUCGUGCCUUCACUCUUGAAUGCACCUGUCAUUCAAUUCAUUGAAUUCAGUCAUUUUAAAGCCUUUACGAAUGUAAGGUGCAUUGGCCUCAUGAGGAAAGCUCUUGCGAAGUUCAAGAAGGAUCUCACUAAUUUUUCAAG